GCGCAGGUGCGAAAGCAGAACUUAACGACCCGACAGCCCUUCGUAGAACGGCUGGAGACAUCGGAUAAAAGCUACCCCGGGGAUAACAGGCUAGUCUUCCCCGAGAGUCCAUAUCGACGGGAAGGUUCGGCACCUUAACUUGAUGUUGCAAAUCAGAUCGGGGUGCCUACGAGAGUAAUCUCGUACAAAAACAAAUUGGCUAUAACGGUGAAACCCAUACACUAGCGCUGCCGCCAGAGAUGGAUGGUAGAAUAUACGUAUGGGCAAUACCGUGGGAAGUCGCCAUAGUAUGUGGUUGACCCCGUAGAGACUACACGCCGAUCCCCUGUGCCUAGGUCACAGGGUGAAGAUAUAGUCCGAUCCUACUAGCAAUAGUAGAAAAUGCCGAUAAGCGAUGUCGGCUCGAAUGAGGGUCGGUUCUGGCGCAAGUCAGAACAUUCAAAUUAGCUUAUAACGGUGAACUCCCACCCACGUACCCAGCGUGGAGGACAACACCGUGGGAAGCUGGGUAAGCGAUUGGUAUAAUCCAAAUAUGGAAUUGACCGGUCGUCAGCGUGCAAUAAUGAUAGGUUCACUACUUGGUGAUGCCUGUUUGGAACUGAAUGGCUCGCAUUACCGUUUGCGAAUAGAGCAUGGAGAUAAUCAGAAAGAGUAUCUACUGUGGAAGUACACACAAUUUUCUGGAUUGGUUACUAAAGCCAGUCCGAUGAAAGUAGUGGCACGUCAUCGCAAACAGAAUGUCAUAUACACCAGUUGGCGUGUGUACACAAAGACCAAUUUGGUCUUUGACGAGUUCGCUCGCUUGUUUUACCAGCAUGGUAAAAAAGUUGUACCGCAAAACAUUGGUGAUAUCUUGACCAGUCCAUUGUCUUUGGCUGUAUGGUUCAUGGACGACGGGUACAAGAGGAAUGACUGUAAUGCGUUUCGUAUCAGUACAGAGUCGUUUUCUUUUGAAGAGAACGUGUUAUUGCAAGCAGUGUUGGCAAAGAACUUCGGUAUACAGACCUCCAUACAUAGGAAAGGUAGUUACUGGAAUCUGUACAUACCGCAAAGGUUCUCUAGGGGUUUUGUAUCUCUGAUAAACUCCUAUGUGUUGCCCUCACUUGCUUAUAAACUUACCUUAGCCCCGUAACGACUGGAUCCGCGGACGGUAGAGAACGUCCAAGGUGAAGAUGGCGCGCCUGCGCCAUAAUACGCUGAUCUCCCCAAACGCGGGGAUGAAUAUAUAGUCUAUGCACGUAGUAAUACGUGAGUAACAUGCAUCUUAUCCUGGAGGGGGAGCACCUUCCAAGGGUUUGGCUGUUCGCCAAUUAAAAAGGUACGCGAGCUGGGUUCAGACCGUCGUGAGACAGGUUGGUCUUUAUCUACUGUAGGCGUGGAGAACUUGAGGGAAUUCGACCCUAGUAAGCAAUUGCUACUUCACAGAGAAAUCUGUGAUGACAACGCGGCUUAUAACGGUGAAGCCUUCAUAAGAUUUCAGUUCAAGAAUAGCACCCACUAUCGGUCCGUGUGGGGCGCAAUUCAUUUGAGGACUGAAGUCCUCUUUAAGGUAAUACCGUGGGAAGUCGAUCUAACUAAACUGUUAGAUUUGACCCCGUAACGACUUGUCUAGACAGAAUACUAUCUGUAGAGACAGACUCGCAGGAUAACUGAACUGUAUAUACAGCAGUUCCUGUGGGUAACAUGCCGCCACCUUAGCUCAUCUCGUGUGAGAAAGGUGAAGAUAUAGUCUGCGCUCCUGGAAACAGGGGACAUACGUGACGAGAGGACCGGGUUGAGCGAACCUCUGGUCUACCAGCUUUGACACCAGUUGAAGCGCUGGGUAGCUAAGUUCGUGUUGGAUAAGCGCUGAAAGCAUCUAAGCGCGAAGCCGCACCCAAGAUUAGGUUCAGGUCCCCGGAAGAUGACCGGGUUGAUAGGCUCUAGGUGUAAGUACCGUAAGGUAUUCAGCCGAGGAGUACUAAUAGACCGUUGCCUCUUUAUU
This 1984-nucleotide ribosomal RNA is filed under the name bacterium. RNAcentral's name for it is "partial 23S ribosomal RNA". It matches the Rfam family "Bacterial large subunit ribosomal RNA", at positions 2391 to 2925 of the family's 2925-position model. The record is from RNAcentral.